GGCCGACGAUGACGUCACCGCCGAAGUGUCACCCGGCCCCGCCCCCGCGGGAGGCGACGAAGACCCGGCGGGAACCGGAAGGGGCGGGGCCACGGAAGGAGCGGGGGGCCUUGGGGACAUGGAGGGACACCCGAGUGACGUCACCGGAGGUGCCACCACCGCCGUGACCUCGGGAGGUGACAAAGUCCUGGUGGCCACCGCUGGGGGCGUGGCCACGGAGGGGACAGAGGGACUGGGUGUCACCGGUGGCCUUGGGGACACUUUGGGACGCGUCACCGAAGCCCCCGGAGAUGCCACCACCAUGGUUGGAACCGUGACCACGUCCCCAGGAGGUGACAAAUCCCUGCUGGCCCCUGGUGGGGACGUGGCCAUGGAGGGGACGGCCCAGCCCGGUGCCACCAACUGCUCCUGGGACACUU
This 419-nucleotide long non-coding RNA is filed under the name Cyanistes caeruleus (blue tit). Its description in RNAcentral is "lncRNA (ENSCCEG00000004155.1)". Lineage: Eukaryota; Metazoa; Chordata; Aves; Passeriformes; Paridae. The record is from RNAcentral.